Xenopus tropicalis (tropical clawed frog) is the source of this 47-nucleotide non-coding RNA. The record is from Rfam. NCBI's taxonomy places the organism in Eukaryota, Metazoa, Chordata, Amphibia, Anura, Pipidae.
CCAAAGGCUCUUCUCAGAGCCGCCACAUAUUCCCUUGGGAGCUGUUU